RNAcentral lists this ribosomal RNA (492 nucleotides) under uncultured bacterium. Its description in RNAcentral is "partial 16S ribosomal RNA". It matches the Rfam family "Bacterial small subunit ribosomal RNA", at positions 29 to 507 of the family's 1533-position model. The record is from RNAcentral.
AGUGAACGCUGGCGGUAGGCCUAACACAUGCAAGUCGAACGGCAGCACAGUAAGAGCUUGCUCUUACGGGUGGCGAGUGGCGGACGGGUGAGGAAUACAUCGGAAUCUACUUUUUCGUGGGGGAUAACGUAGGGAAACUUACGCUAAUACCGCAUACGACCUACGGGUGAAAGCAGGGGAUCUUCGGACCUUGCGCGAUUGAAUGAGCCGAUGUCGGAUUAGCUAGUUGGCGGGGUAAAGGCCCACCAAGUCGACGAUCCGUAGCUGGUCUGAGAGGAUGGUCAGCCACACUAGAACUGAGACGCGGUCCAGACUCCUACGGGAGGCAGCAGUGGGGAAUAUGGGACAAUGGGCGCAAGCAUGAUCCAGUCAUACCGAGUGGGUGGAGAAGGCGUUCGGGUUGUGAAGCCGUUUUGUUGGGAAAGAAAAGCAGCAGGUUAAUACCCCGCUGGUCUGACGGUACCCAAAGAAUAAGCACCGGCUAACUUCGUG